RNAcentral lists this ribosomal RNA (448 nucleotides) under uncultured bacterium. RNAcentral's name for it is "bacterial SSU rRNA". It matches the Rfam family "Bacterial small subunit ribosomal RNA", at positions 330 to 794 of the family's 1533-position model. The record is from RNAcentral.
UCCAGACUCCUACGGGAGGCAGCAGUGGGGAAUAUUGCACAAUGGGGGAAACCCUGAUGCAGCGACGCCGCGUGAGCGAGGAAGUAUUUCGGUAUGUAAAGCUCUAUCAGCAGGGACGAAAAAAGACGGUACCUGACUAAGAAGCCCCGGCUAACUACGUGCCAGCAGCCGCGGUAAUACGUAGGGGGCAAGCGUUAUCCGGAUUUACUGGGUGUAAAGGGAGCGUAGACGGCAAGGCAAGCCAGAAGUGAAAGCCCGGGGCUCAACUCCGGGACUGCUUUUGAAACUGUGUGACUGGAGUGCAGGAGAGGUAAGCGGAAUUCCUGGUGUAGCGGUGAAAUGCGUAGAUAUCAGGAGGAACACCAGUGGCGAAGGCGGCUUACUGGACUGUAACUGACGUUGAGGCUCGAAAGCGUGGGGAGCAAACAGGAUUAGAUACCCGCGUAUA